GAGGAGCAGGCAGCUGUGGUGCUGAGAUAGGAGCUUGAAAUGCUUCAUGGUGCCAAGACUGUCAUAAACGGCUCCUGGGGUCUGAAAAAACGACAGCAGGAUUCAGCGUUCCUCUGACAACCACUCAGAAAAUAGAAUGUGAAGAAGAAGGAGGAAGGGAAGAUGCGGGGCCAGCCAUCAGAAUGUUCCCUGUGGCUCCAUGGAUGCCUAGAAAUGCUAGUCACUUCAAGGGCACAGAAUGUCAAAUGACUGAAGUAAAAGAGGAAGUAACAUUGCUCAGGGAUGGAGAUUUGUGGCUUCUCUCUUUGGAAAGAUGGUGAGUUUGAUUUAGAUUCCACAUAUAAAUGAGACCAUGCAGUAUUUGUCUAUGUCUGGCUGAUUUCACUU
Molecule: long non-coding RNA, 387 nt
Filed under: Piliocolobus tephrosceles (Ugandan red Colobus)
Lineage: Eukaryota; Metazoa; Chordata; Mammalia; Primates; Cercopithecidae
Description: lncRNA (ENSPTEG00000035926.1)
Source: RNAcentral